Molecule: ribosomal RNA, 254 nt
Filed under: uncultured bacterium
Lineage: Bacteria
Description: partial 16S ribosomal RNA
Rfam family: Bacterial small subunit ribosomal RNA
Source: RNAcentral
UACGUAGGGUCCAAGCGUUAUCCGGAAUCACUGGGCGUAAAGCGUGCGUAGGUGGUUUGUUAAGUGAGAUGCGAAAUCCUGUGGCUCAACCAUAUGGACUGUUUCUCAUACUGGCAGACUUGAGGAUGGUAGAGGCAAGUGGAACUGGCAGUGUAGCAGUGAAAUGCGUAGAUAUUGCCAAGAACACCAAUGGCGAAGGCAGCUUGCUGGGCCACACCUGACACUAAGGCACGAAAGCGUGGGGAGCGAACAGG